AGAGUUUGAUCAUGGCUCAGGAUGAACGCUGGCGGCGUGCCUAAUACAUGCAAGUCGAGCGGUAAGGCUUUCACUCUGUAUUUAAUGAGUUGAAUAUAGUGUGGAAGUACACGAGCGGCGGACGGCUGAGUAACGCGUAGGAACGUACCCCAAAGUGAGGGAUAAGCACCGGAAACGGUGUCUAAUACCGCAUGUGAUCUUCGGAUUAAAGCUUUAUGCGCUUUGGGAGCGGCUGCGUAAGAUUAGUUGUUGGUGAGGUAAUGGCUCACCAAGACUACGAUCUUUAGCUGGUCUGAGAGGAUGAUCAGCCAGACUGGGACUGAGACACGGCCCAGACUCCUACGGGAGGCAGCAGUAGGGAAUUUCCACAAUGGACGAAAGUCUGAUGGAGCAACGCCGCGUGCAGGAUGAAGGCCUUCGGGUUGUAAACUGCUUUUAUCUGUGACGAUUAUGACGGUAGCAGAUGAAUAAGGAUCGGCUAACUCCGUG
RNAcentral lists this ribosomal RNA (489 nucleotides) under uncultured bacterium. Its description in RNAcentral is "bacterial SSU rRNA". It matches the Rfam family "Bacterial small subunit ribosomal RNA", at positions 8 to 507 of the family's 1533-position model. The record is from RNAcentral.